AACCAUAGAAACCUGCGGAGUACCUGCGGAGGGAUCAUUACCGAGUUUACAACUCCCAAACCCCUGUGAACAUACCACUUGUUGCCUCGGCGGAUCAGCCCGCUCCCGGUAAAACGGGACGGCCCGCCAGAGGACCCCUAAACUCUGUUUCUAUAUGUAACUUCUGAGUAAAACCAUAAAUAAAUCAAAACUUUUAACAACGGAUCU
This 207-nucleotide unclassified non-coding RNA is filed under the name soil metagenome. Its description in RNAcentral is "partial contains 5.8S ribosomal RNA, internal transcribed spacer 2, and large subunit ribosomal RNA". The record is from RNAcentral.